CAAGUCGAACGGUGAACCCGACUUCGGUCGGGGGAUCAGUGGCGAACGGGUGAGUAACACGUGAGCAACCUGCCCCUAGCUCUGGGAUAACCCCGGGAAACCGGAGCUAAUACCGGAUACGAGACCGAGCGGCAUCACACGGUCUGGAAAGUUUUUCGGCUAGGGAUGGGCUCGCGGCCUAUCAGCUUGUUGGUGGGGUAAUGGCCUACCAAGGCGACGACGGGUAGCCGGCCUGAGAGGGCGACCGGCCACACUGGGACCGAGACACGGCCCAGACUCCUACGGGAGGCAGCAGUGGGGAAUAUUGCGCAAUGGGCGAAAGCCUGACGCAGCGACGCCGCGUGAGGGAUGAAGGCCUUCGGGUUGUAAACCUCUUUCAGCAGGGAAGAAGCGAAAGUGACGGUACCUGCAGAAGAAGCACCGGCUAACUACGUGCCAGCAGCCGCGGUAAUACGUAGGGUGCAAGCGUUGUCCGGAAUUAUUGGGCGUAAAGAGCUCGUAGGCGGUCUGUCGCGUCGGACGUGAAAACCCAGGGCUCAACCCUGGGCCGGCGUUCGAUACGGGCAGACUAGAGUUCGGUAGGGGAGACUGGAAUUCCUGGUGUAGCGGUGAAAUGCGCAGAUAUCAGGAGGAACACCGGUGGCGAAGGCGGGUCUCUGGGCCGAAACUGACGCUGAGGAGCGAAAGCGUGGGGAGCGAACAGGAUUAGAUACCCUGGUAGUCCACGCCGUAAACGUUGGGCGCUAGGUGUGGGGAACCUUCCACGUUCUCCGUGCCGCAGCUAACGCAUUAAGCGCCCCGCCU
RNAcentral lists this ribosomal RNA (804 nucleotides) under uncultured bacterium. RNAcentral describes it as "bacterial SSU rRNA". It matches the Rfam family "Bacterial small subunit ribosomal RNA", at positions 58 to 874 of the family's 1533-position model. The record is from RNAcentral.